GUUGGGUAGGGGAGCGUUCUGUAAGCCUGUGAAGGUGGCCUGUGAGGGUUGCUGGAGGUAUCAGAAGUGCGAAUGCUGACAUAAGUAACGAUAAAGCGGGUGAAAAGCCCGCUCGCCGGAAGACCAAGGGUUCCUGUCCAACGUUAAUCGGGGCAGGGUGAGUCGACCCCUAAGGCGAGGCCGAAAGGCGUAGUCGAUGGGAAACGGGUUAAUAUUCCCGUACUUGGUGUUACUGCGAAGGGGGGACGGAGAAGGCUAUGUUGGCCGGGCGACGGUUGUCCCGGUUUAAGCGUGUAGGUGUGUGUUCCAGGUAAAUCCGGUUCACUUUAACACUGAGGCGUGACGACGAGGCACUACGGUGCUGAAGCAACAAAUGCCCUGCUUCCAGGAAAAGCCUCUAAGCAUCAGGUAACAUCAAAUCGUACCCCAAACCGACACAGGUGGUCAGGUAGAGAAUACCAAGGCGCUUGAGAGAACUCGGGUGAAGGAACUAGGCAAAAUGGUGCCGUAACUUCGGGAGAAGGCACGCUGA
Molecule: ribosomal RNA, 532 nt
Filed under: Salmonella enterica
Lineage: Bacteria; Pseudomonadati; Pseudomonadota; Gammaproteobacteria; Enterobacterales; Enterobacteriaceae
Also listed under: 1 other name
Description: partial 23S ribosomal RNA
Rfam family: Bacterial large subunit ribosomal RNA
Source: RNAcentral